GACGAACGCUGGCGGCGUGCUUAACACAUGCAAGUGGAGCGACGAACCAGGGCUUGCCCUGGGGCAGAGCCGCGAACGGGUGAGUAACACGUGGGUAACGUGCCCCGAUGACCGGGACAACCCGGGGAAACCCGGGCUAAUACCGGAUGUGCCCCCUCACAUCAGUGAGGUGUGUAAAGGAAGCUUCGGCCUCCGCAUCGGGAUCGGCCCGCGGCCCAUUAGCUUGUUGGUGAGGUAACGGCUCACCAAGGCUGCGAUGGGUAGCUGGUCUGAGAGGACGAUCAGCCACACUGGGACUGAGACACGGCCCAGACUCCUACGGGAGGCAGCAGUGGGGAAUCUUGCGCAAUGCGCGAAAGCGUGACGCAGCAACGCCGCGUGGGGGAAGACGGCCUUCGGGUUGUAAACCCCUUUCAGUUGGGACGAAGGUCGGGCGGUUAACAGCCGUUCCGGCUGACGGUACCUUCACAAGAAGCCCCGGCUAACUACGUG
Molecule: ribosomal RNA, 492 nt
Filed under: uncultured bacterium
Lineage: Bacteria
Description: partial 16S ribosomal RNA
Rfam family: Bacterial small subunit ribosomal RNA
Source: RNAcentral